RNAcentral lists this ribosomal RNA (379 nucleotides) under uncultured eukaryote. RNAcentral describes it as "SSU rRNA". It matches the Rfam family "Eukaryotic small subunit ribosomal RNA", at positions 587 to 972 of the family's 1831-position model. The record is from RNAcentral.
AGCUCCAAUAGCGUAUAUUAAAGUUGUUGCGGUUAAAAGCUCGUAGUUGGAUUUCUGUUGAGGACAGCCGGUCCGCACUAUGUGCGUGUAUCUGGUUUGGCCUUGGCAUCCUCUUGGGAACAGUGCUGCGCUUGAUUGCGUGGACUGGUAUUCAAGACUUUUACUUUGAGGAAAUUAGAGUGUUCACGGCAGGCAAUCGCCUUGAAUACAUUAGCAUGGAAUAAUAAUAUAGGACUGUGGUUCUAUUUUGUUGGUUUCUAGAACUCCAGUAAUGAUUAAUAGGGAUAAUUGGGGGCAUUCGUAUUAACACGUCAGAGGUGGAAUUCUUGGAUUGUGUUACGACGAACUACUGCGAAAGCAUUUGCCAAGGAUGUUUUCA